Non-coding RNA from Tinamus guttatus (white-throated tinamou), 366 nucleotides. Lineage: Eukaryota; Metazoa; Chordata; Aves; Tinamiformes; Tinamidae. The record is from RefSeq and is a predicted model, not a curated record.
GUUGGCCAGAAGGCAGCGGGGCCGCGUGCUCCGGCCGGCACGGCAGCUGCGCAGCCUGGGGCGGAAGGAGAGAGCGUUUUCUCCAAAAUCCUGCCAGGAGGGGCAGCGGAACAAGCAGGCAAACUGACUGAAGCGGUGUCGGCUUUCGGCAAGAAAUUCACUUCGUUCUGGUGAGAGAACAGCAUGAGGAGCUUGGGAAGCGAGUAGAGGUCUAGUCAUUGCAAGGGGAAAAACCUAUGAAGAAGCCAGUGACUUCAGCACGCAGCGUUGGACUCUGAGUAUAACACUUUUGAAAGCAGGGCAAUCCCUGGAUGCUGCAUUGUGUGGAGCAGACAGCGGCCGGAGCGGGGGCCUGGCGGAGGACCC